GGUAGGGGGAUCGGCCCUCCGACGACACGAGGGUAACUAGCCGUGACGCCCAUGAGAUGAAUCAACCGCAGCUGGACUAGGGCCUAGGGCAACCGACAGCGGCGGCGCAGGAACAAUUUUGUAGCCACUCGACAGAAAUCAGCGGUGGUGCGGGGGCAUCCAUCAGUAUCCAUACGAGAGCUUCAAGCAACGGCUGCGCGAGGGCAUAAAGCAAGUGCGACGCCAGGAGAUUAGGUGAGGAUUACUCGAUGCAGCCUCCUAACCAGGAGCUUAUCGUGCAAGAUUUGCAUGACAACAUGUGGAUAUUUCGUCACAUUUAUCGUGAUGAUGGCCUUCAUUCAUGUUUCAUCGCGAGCACUAUGACGAAGAAGUAAGAAGAAAGGAAGGCAUGCAUGAUCUAGGCAUGCAUGCACAUUCUUCUAAUGCUGAAUUUUCUUGGAAUUUGGAUGUAGUGCUGAUUUUGCUGAGAAUUUGAUGUAUAUUUGCAUGCAAACAAAAUUCAAAUGCUGGGAGUUAUGUA
Hordeum vulgare subsp. vulgare (domesticated barley) is the source of this 520-nucleotide long non-coding RNA. RefSeq lists it as uncharacterized. NCBI's taxonomy places the organism in Eukaryota, Viridiplantae, Streptophyta, Magnoliopsida, Poales, Poaceae. The transcript has 3 exons. The record is from RefSeq and is a predicted model, not a curated record.